UACGGGGGGGGCAAGCGUUGUUCGGAAUUACUGGGCGUAAAGGGCUCGUAGGCGGCCAACUAAGUCAGACGUGAAAUCCCUCGGCUUAACCGGGGAACUGCGUCUGAUACUGGAUGGCUAGAGGUUGGGAGGGGGAUGCGGAAUUCCAGGUGUAGCGGUGAAAUGCGUAGAUAUCUGGAGGAACACCGGUGGCGAAGGCGGCAUCCUGGACCAAUUCUGACGCUGAUGAGCGAAAGCCAGGGGAGCAAACGGG
This 253-nucleotide ribosomal RNA is filed under the name uncultured bacterium. Its description in RNAcentral is "partial 16S ribosomal RNA". It matches the Rfam family "Bacterial small subunit ribosomal RNA", at positions 524 to 776 of the family's 1533-position model. The record is from RNAcentral.